Molecule: RNA transcript, 6006 nt
Organism: Panicum virgatum (switchgrass)
Lineage: Eukaryota; Viridiplantae; Streptophyta; Magnoliopsida; Poales; Poaceae
Exons: 5
Source: RefSeq, a predicted model, not a curated record
AUCCUAUCAGGCCGGCGGCGAUCUCGUCACGGAAGUCAGCCCUAUCCAUGGCCCCAAUCACCGAAAACUGCCUACCCUACUACUACAAUCGGCCACGGUCGACCGGCAGUGCUUUCCGCCCUCCCGGCCACGACCGCCUCCAUGGACGACGACGCGGUGCGCGAAGCGGCCGGAUCGCCGGAGAGGGAAGGCCGCAACACUAGUUCGCUUCACAAGGUGUAGUGUGAAUGUGUGAUGGCACACCAGGAUGCACAAGUAGGUUGGCUGCAAUAUGUGCUUGCGCUGAAUAGUCAAGGGCUGCACCUGCACGACAUGAACCCUGCCACUCCAGUCUCCUGUGCUGUUGAGCUGUUCCAUCUGUAAAUGUUUCCGUUUGCAAGCAUUAUGGCUGUUUUCUAAAAUCUUCUUUUUGGAGCCGGUAAGCAACUUGCUGAAAAUAUGGGCGCCUUGUUUAUUGCCUAUGUUUUUUCUUAAUGAAGGAAUGAUUGGCGAUUGCCUAUGAUUUUGGACUAAGGGGAGAGUGCUAUAUAGUGCAGUGGGGUGGAUUAGCUAUCUUGUAAUUUGAUUUCUUAACAUAAAUUUUGAAUAAGAUGUGUAUCAACUUGACAAGUCAAAUCACAUAUUAUAAUCACUCACCAACUCCAUUCUACUAAAUCAUGUAGUUCAAUAUUAUUUUUCAAGGUAAAUAAAAAAUAACUGUCCUUUUGUUCAAAUCUGCACAUAUAAUUUCUUCUAAUGAGUUUGUGUCUUGAAUCUUAAAUGAAGAUACUUGUUCAUUGAAUAUCUUUGACGAAGAAAAUUUCUAGUUCACUCUGCCAAAUUCUAGACCACAUCAUGUUGGAUCCCAGUAGAUAAAAAAGGGCGUACCCAGUGCUGUAGGCUUCCAGCAGAUAAUUGGUUUAAUUUAAGUUUUAGCAGCAUACAAGAAAGACAGUAAUAUUAGAUGUGCAGCUUAGAUAUGGAGAUAGUAGUAGUGCUUAAUUCUGACCCUAAAGUAUCUAGUUGAUGCUGACAAGUUAUAGUCUUAUAGAUAACAACAUUGCAGUUUAGAAGUUUCAGCCAAUUCUGCUUUCCGUUUUCUUUCCAGUAACUAACUAACCAACUAUCAUGUCCCUAUCUUUUGAUUUGUCUUUUAUCCCUCAUGUAAUUUUCGUUGGCUUUCCAGUAAUUGUCAUGUCCCUGUCCUUUGCUUGUCUUUUGUUUCCUUUCCUGUGCUUGUCAUGUCUUUUGAAGUUCUUGCUUUUGGUCAAUGUUUGGUGCUGGGAGUUGGCAAGGUAUUGUGCAGAAGGAAGACAAAACACGUAAUAACACAGCUAAUAGGAAUACUCAGACACUUGGUCUAGGACUAGGAUGGGCUUUAGAAGUUUGUAAUUAUUCAAGCAGUGACAGAAUCAUAGCUAAGUCUGCUGCUGAAACUGAAAGUGAUGCUUUGUCCUUGGUGCAGUCAAGUUGCUCCACUUGUUGAGGUGCUUUGUCCUUGCAGAAGUUGCUCCACUUGUUGAGAUGCUUCGUCCUUGGUUCAAGACAACUGGUGAUUUUAGACAACGGUUGCAAUAAUUUAAGUCUGUUAUUGUGAAUGCUUGUCCUUGAACAGUUAAACUGUGUGAUUCUGUUAGUUUUGGUCCUUCCAUUUGCUGAUGCUUAUUGAUAUAUAAACUAUAAGUUUAUUAGCAUCUUGCUCAUUGAAAGUAAAUUUCUAUGGUGGCUGUUGUAUUCUUGUCACAGCUUUCCUUUCCUGCACUUACCUUUUUACUGUUAUAAUAGCCUGUUACCUUAAUUAGUUAGCACAUGCUUAGCUUUAUCAUGUAUGGAAAAAUACAGAUAGGGCGAACUUUAGUAUUGAAGAAAGCUAUGGUCUCACAAAGGACCAAGAAAUUAAGUUGAGCUGUCAUGUCAAGGAGAUAGCAUUUUGAUGUAUAUACUUUCAAAUGGACAAUACUUGGGGUUACAACAACAACAACAACAUAGCCUUUUGGGGUUACAAAAAGUAUAAAUUAUUAUUGUAAAAAUGAAUGAAACCAAAGAAUUAAAAGAAGAAAGAUUGUGAGCAGUUGAUGUGAGCAAACAAUUGACAUGUGCAUACAACAGAGAUGCAUUGGACCAACACAGUUAAAUAGCCCUCCAGACAACACUUGUCAGUUAAUAAUAUCUUUUUCUUCUCAAACGUACAUGUGAUAAAUAUUGAUAUUCACCGUAUACAUGUUUGGUUCCAUUCAAAAGCUGGACCUCAAGUCGUAUUAGAUGUUAAUGUUGAUUGUUACACUUUUCGCUGCAGUUGACCUUGACCUAUUCCAAGUUUCCUACUGGCUACUGGUUAUCGACCAGUAUAGCGUUAACUUCAAUGCUAUCCUAUUUAUGAGGUCCUUGUGUAGGUGAAGCUAUCUUUCUCGCUUACCAGUAAGCAUUGUACCUCAGGAACUGUAUCCUCUCAAUGGGUGAGGUUGUACUCUCUGCCUUUCUGCAAGUCCUUUUUCAGGUCAUAGCAGAUUUGAUCAGGAAGGAGCUGCAGUCCCACAGUGGUCUUCAGAACGAGCAGACAAGUCUAAUUUCUGAUGUUGAAAUGAUUCAAGCUGUUAUUAGAGGAGCUGAGAAGAUGCAGCUUUCUGAGCUACAGAAAUUGUGGUUCAUUGAGCUGAAAGAUGUCAGCUAUGAGGCAACGGAUGUGCUGGAUGAAUACACCUAUGAAAUUCAACGCCAUCAGGGGAUCCAUCUUGCCCCUGUGCGCAACAGUUCAUUUUUGUCUCAAUUAAGCAUCAGGCGUCAAAUAUUUAUGCAUGAUAUGGAAGAGAAGAUCAAGGAUAUAGCUAACAGAAUUGCUUAUAAAAGAAAACCGUUUGACCUUCCAAAUAGAUGUUGGCCAUACAGCGCAGCAUCAGGAAACCAGAAGCCUCCAACAGAGCAGCUAUUUUCCGCCCCCUUAUGUUUAUGGUAGACAUAAUGAUCAGGAGAAGAUUGUAAAGAUGCUUCUUCAAUCUGAUCGGAAGCCCAGUGUUAGAGUCUUGCCAAUACUCGGGGAGGCUUGUAUGGGGAAGACGACAGUUACUCAACUAGUCUUCAAUCAUGAGCGUGUAAAAGUGUACUUUGAACUGAAGCUGUGGGUUCAUGUGUCGCAUGAAUUCAAUAUAGAAAGGAUCACUGCAUCUAUCAUAGAAUCCAUAGAAGGCAGUCCAUUUCAUUCUGGCAACCUGAACACCCUCCAGACGCGUCUAGAAAAGCUGUUACAAGGAACAAGGUACCUUCUUGUCCUAGAUGACUAUUGGAGAGAGAGCUGGCAUGACUGGGACAAGCUCAAACUGCCAUUGCUCAAGGGAGCAGGAGGAAGCAAAAUCAUAGUGACCACACGGAGUGCGGAAGUUGCUAGAGUUCUUGGUACAUCAGCUCCAUAUCAGUUGCAGGGUCUGCAAGAUGAAGAUUGCUGGUUGUUGUUCUGCCACUUUUCCCUAGGCGCAAACAUCCAUACAUAUAAUUUUCAAGAUCUUCCAAGAUUGAAGGAACAAGUUCUACGGAAGUGCAAUGGUGUACCUUUCGUAGCUGUCGGUUUAGGCCAUAGAGUGCGCCAAGAGAAUGACAGAAGCAAGUGGACAUCUACUCUGCAUGGGGAGAAUUGGGAUUCUACCGGUCAUUUGAUUGGAGCCCUUCGACUGAGCUAUGCAGAGCUAGAUUCCCAUCUCAAGCCUUGUUUUGCAUACAGCUCCAUUGUUCCACAAAACUUCCAGUUUGAGGAGGAAUGGCUUAUCCAGCAUUGGAUGGCUCAGGGCUUCAUUCAACCUAAUCCUAGGUCCAGUGAAACAAUUGAGGACACAGGAAGAUCUUACUUCAGAUCUUUAGUUAGCCGAUCCUUUUUCCAGAGGGCACGUGUUGAUCGCACUGGGGAAAGACACAGUUACAGCUUAUCUGAAAUGAUGCAAGAUCUUGCUUUACAUGUCUCAUGUGAAGACUGUAAAUGUUGUGCAGUUGAAGGAUCUUACAACAUACCUGAGAAGGUCCGAUAUUUAACGGUAGUCUUCAACAUGCCUACCAGUCGGGAUAUGUUUAAGAUGAUUUCUGGAGGCGAGCGCUUGCACACACUUAUAGUUGUGGGUCACUCUGAACAUUUCACGCAAAAGGUUCCUAAUGAUAUUGGAAGGAGAUUUAUAAGGCUACGUGCAUUAGAUUUGAGCAACUUUUGCGUAGUUGAGCUGCCUGAAUCGAUUGGAGAAUUGAAACAUCUUAGAUGUCUCCAAUUGCGAAGCACCAAGAUCAGAUGGCUGCCCAAAUCAAUUUGUGAUCUCUACAAUCUCCAAACGCUGGGCCUUACAAAUUGCUAUGACCUUGAAGAGUUGCCACGUAAAAUAAAGAAUCUUCGCAUGCUAAGGCAUAUCGAUCUGUUAAUGUCUCGUAAUUCCUACUGCAAUGUCUGCCGGUUGAGGUGCAUGCCUAAGGAUAUAGGUUUGUUGACUGAUCUUCGGACACUGUCACGAUUCGUCGUAAGCCAUAGAAGCACUCUUAGUGUCGGCACUCACAGAGGUGGUAUUGCAGAGUUGGCUAACUUGAACAAUCUCCAUGGGGAACUUCUCAUUUCAAAUCUGCACCAUGUUGAAGGUGUGCAAGAUGCUGCCCUGGCAAAUUUGGCUUCCAAGCAGUUCCUUCAAAAGCUGGAGCUGUCAUGGGGAAACAAUAACAAAAAAGCUGACGAAAUUCUAGAGAACCUAAAGCCACCCACCAAGAUUAAGGAGCUUACCAUUUCAGGUUACACCGGCAUGGCAUGCCCUAGCUGGCUUGGUUCUGCAGAGUACACAAAUCUCCUCACUGUGUGCCUCUAUGAUUUUCAGAGUUGCAGUGUUCUCCCUUCCCUUGGCAUGCUGCCUCUUUUAGAAAACCUCUACCUGAAAGGUUGGCAAAGCUUGGUUUCCAUAGAUUGCAGCAGAUUUUGCGGUAGAAGAAGUAUGGCUAGUUUCCAAUCUCUGAAGAAGCUACAUUUGGAGAGGAUGGAGAUGUUAGAGAUCUGGGAUGGGGAAGAGAGAUGUGCUUUCCCUAGUCUUCUCGAGCUUGUUAUCGAGAAUUGCUGCAAGCUGGAACAAGUCACUCACAAUCUCCCUUCACUGGCAAAGCUAACAGUGGAAGGGUCACCAGGUUUCCAAGGCCUUUGGAGCUUCCCAUCUCUGAAGUACUCGAAUGUAAAUGCAAGUGGUGAGUGGAUUUUGAGAUCAUGGCCUUCCCUUUCUUCUCCUAUAUCUAUCACCCUUUGCAAAUUGCCGACAAUAUGCCUGCCCUCAGGGCUUGGACUGUUCCAUACAUCUUUACAACGCCUUGAGAUCAGUCACUGUGAGCAACUGCAGUACAUACCUGGGGAUUGGCCACCAUGCAAUCUGACUCACUUCUCUGUAAGGUAUUGCCCCCAACUUCGUGAACUGCCAUUGGGCAUAGAACGCAUGCAAGCAUUGGAAGACAUGGAGAUUGUUGCUUGUGAGCAGAUUACUUACCUCCCGGAGAUGAUUGGUCUUUGUUCGUUAAUAAGGCUAGAGAUUUCAGACUGUGGUUCAGUUCAGUCCCUGCCAAAUAGAGGCUUGCCUAGCUCAGUGCAGGUCGUGAGCAUUAACAACUGCCCUCUGCUUGCACGGUCUUGUAGGAAUCAGGGGAUUGCAGAUCGUGGCAGCAUCUUAUUAUGGAUUGAUGGCCACAGAGUGUCCGCAUUUGCUGACUAGUGAACUAGCAUCACUUUGUUGCCCUGCCAAAGCUCCAGAGAGAUUAAAAGGUUUCUCUGUUGUGCGUCAGUUUCAAAGAAGACUCUUGUGAUCACGCAGAACCCCUUGUUCUCCAUUGCAUUGUUGUGAUCAGGCUUUGGAUGGAUGUUUUCGUGGUGAUCUAAGUUUCAGUUUGUAGGGCUCCAACAUUAUAGGCGGAGCUUCAUUAGGGCCAAAGGGGCCAUAGCCCCUCUGGAUUUGCAAAUUUUACACUAGAUGAACAGUGAUUUUGACACUGUUCAUUGCUGAAGCAGAAGGGUGCCCCCCCUCAUUCUUCGAUCAA